UACGUAGGUGGCGAGCGUUGUCCGGAUUUACUGGGCGUAAAGGGAGCGUAGGCGGACUUUUAAGUGAGAUGUGAAAUACCCGGGCUCAACUUGGGUGCUGCAUUUCAAACUGGAAGUCUAGAGUGCAGGAGAGGAGAAUGGAAUUCCUAGUGUAGCGGUGAAAUGCGUAGAGAUAUGGAGGAACACCAGUGGCGAAGGCGGCUUCCUGGUCUGUAACUGACACUGAGGCGCGAAAGCGUGGGGAGCAAACAGGAUUAGAUAUCCCGGUA
This 269-nucleotide ribosomal RNA is filed under the name uncultured prokaryote. RNAcentral describes it as "partial 16S ribosomal RNA". It matches the Rfam family "Bacterial small subunit ribosomal RNA", at positions 524 to 792 of the family's 1533-position model. The record is from RNAcentral.